This 601-nucleotide ribosomal RNA is filed under the name Lepiota farinolens. Its description in RNAcentral is "partial large subunit ribosomal RNA". It matches the Rfam family "Eukaryotic large subunit ribosomal RNA", at positions 48 to 632 of the family's 3401-position model. Lineage: Eukaryota; Fungi; Basidiomycota; Agaricomycetes; Agaricales; Agaricaceae. The record is from RNAcentral.
AAGCGGAGGAAAAGAAACUAACAAGGAUUCCCCUAGUAACUGCGAGUGAAGCGGGAAAAGCUCAAAUUUAAAAUCUGGCGGUCAUUGGCUGUCCGAGUUGUAAUCUAGAGAAGUGUUACCCGCGCUGGACCGUGUACAAGUCUCCUGGAAUGGAGCAUCAUAGAGGGUGAGAAUCCCGUCUCUGACACGGACUACCAGGGCUUUGUGGUAUGCUCUCAAAGAGUCGAGUUGUUUGGGAAUGCAGCUCAAAAUGGGUGGUAAAUUCCAUCUAAAGCUAAAUAUUGGCGAGAGACCGAUAGCGAACAAGUACCGUGAGGGAAAGAUGAAAAGAACUUUGGAAAGAGAGUUAAACAGUACGUGAAAUUGCUGAAAGGGAAACGCUUGAAGUCAGUCGCGUUGGCCGGGGAUCAGCCUCGCAUUUUGCGUGGUGUACUUCCUGGUUGACGGGUCAGCAUCAAUUUUGACCGCUGGAAAAAGACUUAGGGAAUGUGGCAGCUCCGGCUGUGUUAUAGCCCUUGGUCACAUACAGCGGUUGAGAUUGAGGAACUCAGCACGCCGCAAGGCCGGGUUUCGACCACGUUCGUGCUUAGGAUGCUGGCAU